GCUGGGCAUGGUGGCACAUGCCUGUAGUCCAAGCUACUCUGGAGGCUGAGGUGUGAGGAUCACUUGAGCCCAGGAGCUCAAGGCUGCAGUGAGCCAAGAUUGUGCCAUUGUACUCCAGCCUGGGCAACAGAAUGAGACCUCGUCUCAA
This is an unclassified non-coding RNA of Macaca mulatta (Rhesus monkey), 148 nucleotides long. It matches the Rfam family "Metazoan signal recognition particle RNA". Rfam says of the family: The signal recognition particle (SRP) is a universally conserved ribonucleoprotein. It is involved in the co-translational targeting of proteins to membranes. NCBI's taxonomy places the organism in Eukaryota, Metazoa, Chordata, Mammalia, Primates, Cercopithecidae. The record is from Ensembl.